RNAcentral lists this ribosomal RNA (1280 nucleotides) under uncultured bacterium. RNAcentral describes it as "bacterial SSU rRNA". It matches the Rfam family "Bacterial small subunit ribosomal RNA", at positions 277 to 1533 of the family's 1533-position model. The record is from RNAcentral.
UGAUAGUUAAUUGGGGUCUCUCCACCCACAGGCGAGCGAUCCGUAAGCUAGAUUUCGGAAAGAUAGUACGUCAAACUCGGACUUGAGACAUGCCCGACUCCUACGGAGCAGCAGUGGGGAUAUUGACAUGGCGAAGCUGAUCCAGCAUGCGCGUGUGUGGAGAGCUUCGGUUGUAAGCACUUCAGUGGGGAAGAAAGCUUGGGCUAAUACCCUCGAGGAAAGGACAUCACCACAGAAGAAGCACCGGCUAACUCCGUGCCAGCAGCCGCGGUAAUACGGAGGGUGCGAGCGUUAAUCGGAAUUACUGGGCGUAAAGCGCGCGUAGGCGGUCUGAUAAGCCGGUUGUGAAAGCCCCGGGCUCAACCUGGGGACGGCAUCCGGGAACUGUCAGGCUAGAGUGCAGGAGAGGAAGGUAGAAUUCCCGGUGUAGCGGUGAAAUGCGUAGAGAUCGGGAGGAAUACCAGUGGCGAAGGCGGCUUUCUGGACUGACACUGACGCUGAGGUGCGAAAGCGUGGGUAGCAAACAGGAUUAGAUACCCUGGUAGUCCACGCCGUAAACGAUGUCGACUAGCCGUUGGGCUCCUUGAGAGCUUUGUGGCGCAGUUAACGCGAUAAGUCGACCGCCUGGGGAGUACGGCCGCAAGGUUAAAACUCAAAUGAAUUGACGGGGGCCCGCACAAGCGGUGGAGCAUGUGGUUUAAUUCGAUGCAACGCGAAGAACCUUACCUACCCUUGACAUCGUGCGAACUUUCCAGAGAUGGAUUGGUGCCUUCGGGAACGCACAGACAGGUGCUGCAUGGCUGUCGUCAGCUCGUGUUGUGAAAUGUUGGGUUAAGUCCCGUAACGAGCGCAACCCUUGUCCUUAUUUGCCAGCGGGUCAUGCCGGGAACUCUAAGGAGACUGCCGGUGACAAACCGGAGGAAGGUGGGGACGACGUCAAGUCAUCAUGGCCCUUACGGGUAGGGCUACACACGUGCUACAAUGGCCGGUACAAAGGGUUGCGAGGCCGCGAGGUGGAGCUAAUCCCGAAAAGCUGGUCUCAGUCCGGAUCGGAGUCUGCAACUCGACUCCGUGAAGUCGGAAUCGCUAGUAAUCGUGAAUCAGAAUGUCACGGUGAAUACGUUCCCGGGCCUUGUACACACCGCCCGUCACACCAUGGGAGUGGACUGCACCAGAAGUGGUUAGCCUAACUUCGGAGGGCGAUCACCACGGUGUGGUUCAUGACUGGGGUGAAGUCGUAACAAGGUAACCAAUCUCUAGAGUCCCCCCGGACGGUAAGU